This 434-nucleotide ribosomal RNA is filed under the name uncultured bacterium. Its description in RNAcentral is "bacterial SSU rRNA". It matches the Rfam family "Bacterial small subunit ribosomal RNA", at positions 958 to 1392 of the family's 1533-position model. The record is from RNAcentral.
AACGCGAAGAACCUUACCUAAGCUUGACAUCCUUUUGACCGAUGCCUAACCGCAUCUUUCCCUUCGGGGACAGAAGUGACAGGUGGUGCAUGGUUGUCGUCAGCUCGUGUCGUGAGAUGUUGGGUUAAGUCCCGCAACGAGCGCAACCCUUGCCUUUAGUUGCCAGCAUUAAGUUGGGCACUCUAGAGGGACUGCCAGGGAUAACCUGGAGGAAGGUGGGGAUGACGUCAAAUCAUCAUGCCCCUUAUGCUUAGGGCUACACACGUGCUACAAUGGGUGGUACAGAGGGCAGCCAAGUCGUGAGGCCGAGCUAAUCCCUUAAAGCCAUUCUCAGUUCGGAUUGUAGGCUGAAACUCGCCUACAUGAAGCUGGAGUUACUAGUAAUCGCAGAUCAGAAUGCUGCGGUGAAUGCGUUCCCGGGCCUGUACACACCG